Dermochelys coriacea (leatherback sea turtle) is the source of this 515-nucleotide long non-coding RNA. RefSeq lists it as uncharacterized. Lineage: Eukaryota; Metazoa; Chordata; Testudines; Dermochelyidae. The record is from RefSeq and is a predicted model, not a curated record. The transcript is spliced from 2 exons.
UUAGGUUCUUGUUAGUUCUUGUGUUGUGUGAAGUGGUAAAUUAUACUUCCCUAUUCAUUUUCUUCACACCAUUCACGAUUUUAUAGACCUUUAUCAUAUCCCCUCUUAGUCAUCUCUUUUCUAAUCUGUAUAGUCCCAUUCCUUUUAGUCUCAUCGGAAAGCUGUUCCAUACCCCUCAUUAUUGUUGCCCUUCUGUCUUUAUUUCUCCAGUUCUGCAAUAUCUUUUCUGAGAUCAAGCAACCAAAACUGCAUGCAGAAUUCAAGAGGACUUCCCAGAGGAGACUAAUUCUGCUAACCCAUGGGAGGAUACGGAGAAAGCCGUCCGCUUAAAGGAUUAACAUUCAAGCAAUAAUUCCUUCAGAAAUAAAGAAUCAGUUACAAUACAUUCAAUGAAGCAAGAAAAAAAAAAAAAACACUAAUCUACAAGACAUCAUAGAAUACAAUUAUUUUUCAUUUAGAAGUCAUGUACCAAAGAAGUGCAAGAGAAUAAAAAAUAGACUAUAUGUAAUACCUAA